GGAUGAGUGAUGAAAUUGGUAAACAUGCAAAGCUCAAACCUUUGUGUCUGAAUGAUUUGGGAGUUCAAGUCUCCCCUCAUCCA
Molecule: transfer RNA, 83 nt
Filed under: Caudoviricetes sp.
Lineage: Duplodnaviria; Heunggongvirae; Uroviricota; Caudoviricetes
Description: tRNA-Leu
Rfam family: tRNA
About the family: Transfer RNA (tRNA) molecules are approximately 80 nucleotides in length. Their secondary structure includes four short double-helical elements and three loops (D, anti-codon, and T loops).
Source: RNAcentral